Trichonephila inaurata madagascariensis is the source of this 73-nucleotide non-coding RNA. The record is from the annotation of a GenBank genome assembly. NCBI's taxonomy places the organism in Eukaryota, Metazoa, Arthropoda, Arachnida, Araneae, Nephilidae.
GUCCCUGUAACGCAAUAUAUAGCGCGUUGGACUUCUAAUUCAAAGGUCGUGGUGUCAAAGCCCACCUGGGAUA